GCGAGUGUCGCCAAGCGGUCAAGGCCCCGGAUUGUGGUUCCGGUAUACGUGGGUUCGAUUCCCAUCACUCGCCCCA
This 76-nucleotide transfer RNA is filed under the name Vampirovibrionales bacterium. RNAcentral describes it as "tRNA-His". It matches the Rfam family "tRNA". From Rfam's summary of the family: Transfer RNA (tRNA) molecules are approximately 80 nucleotides in length. Their secondary structure includes four short double-helical elements and three loops (D, anti-codon, and T loops). Lineage: Bacteria; Bacillati; Candidatus Melainabacteria; Vampirovibriophyceae; Vampirovibrionales. RNAcentral also lists the same sequence under 1 other name. The record is from RNAcentral.